Molecule: ribosomal RNA, 104 nt
Filed under: Propithecus coquereli (Coquerel's sifaka)
Lineage: Eukaryota; Metazoa; Chordata; Mammalia; Primates; Indriidae
Source: RNAcentral
GUCUACGACCAUACCACCCUGAACGCACCCAAUCUCGUCUGAUCUUAGAAGCUAAGCAGGGUUGGGCCUGGUUAGUACUUGGAUGGCAGAAAUACCAGUCAACC